UCCUCCCUCUUUCCUCGUGCUUCCCCCCUGCACGUCGACCGGAAAGGCCCUGCUUUUGUGGGUUGGUCGAGUGGCGAAGGGGUGUGUAACACGCGAGGAACAUGUCCUUGACAUUGUGAGAACUUCAGGAAACUGGGGCUAAUACCGGAUAGAAGCUCCUGCAGCAUGUGGUGGGUUGGUAAGUUUCGGCGGUGGGGGAUGUACUAGAGGCUUAUGAGCCUGUUUGUCAGGUAGUGGCAUACCAGGGCUUUGCAGGGUAGGCGGCCUAGGAGGGUGACCGGCCACAUUGGGACUGAGAUACGGACCAGACUCCUACGGGAGGCAGUAGUGGGAAAUAUUGCGCAAUGGGCGGAAGCCUGAUGCAGCGACGCCGCGAGCGGGAUGCCGGCCGUCGAGUUAUAAACAACUUUCUCCUGUGACGAAGCCUGAGUGACGGUAAUGGGUAAGGAAGCAACGGCUAACUACGUG
RNAcentral lists this ribosomal RNA (468 nucleotides) under uncultured bacterium. RNAcentral describes it as "partial 16S ribosomal RNA". It matches the Rfam family "Bacterial small subunit ribosomal RNA", at positions 36 to 507 of the family's 1533-position model. The record is from RNAcentral.